RNAcentral lists this ribosomal RNA (420 nucleotides) under bacterium. RNAcentral describes it as "partial 16S ribosomal RNA". It matches the Rfam family "Bacterial small subunit ribosomal RNA", at positions 355 to 776 of the family's 1533-position model. The record is from RNAcentral.
UGGGGGAUAUUGCACAAUGGGCGAAAGCCUGAUGCAGCGACGCCGCGUGGGGGAUGAAGGCUUUCGGGUUGUAAACCUCUUUCGCUAUCGAACAAGGCCCGCUUAGGGUGGGGUGAGGGUAGGUGGAGAAGAAGCGCCGGCUAACUACGUGCCAGCAGCCGCGGUAAUACGUAGGGCGCGAGCGUUGUCCGGAAUUAUUGGGCGUAAAGGGCUUGUAGGCGGCUUGUUGCGCCUGCUGUGAAAACGCGGGGCUUAACUUCGCGCGUGCAGUGGGUAAGGGCAGGCUUGAGUGUGGUAGGGGUGACUGGAAUUCCAGGUGUAGCGGUGGAAUGCGCAGAUAUCUGGAGGAACACCGAUGGCGAAGGCAGGUCACUGGGCCAUUACUGACGCUGAGGAGCGAAAGCAUGGGUAGCGAACAGG